UACGUAGGGUGCGAGCGUUGUCCGGAAUUAUUGGGCGUAAAGAGCUCGUAGGCGGUCUGUCGCGUCGGUCGUGAAAACCUGCAGCUUAACUGUGGGCGUGCGGUCGAUACGGGCAUGACUGGAGUUCGGCAGGGGAGACUGGAAUUCCUGGUGUAGCGGUGAAAUGCGCAGAUAUCAGGAAGAACACCCGUGGCGAAAGCGGCUCUCUGGAACGGUACUGACGCUGAGACGCGAAAGCGUGGGGAGCGAACAGG
RNAcentral lists this ribosomal RNA (254 nucleotides) under uncultured bacterium. RNAcentral's name for it is "partial 16S ribosomal RNA". It matches the Rfam family "Bacterial small subunit ribosomal RNA", at positions 524 to 776 of the family's 1533-position model. The record is from RNAcentral.